AUUGAACGCUGGCGGAAUGCUUUACACAUGCAAGUCGAGCGGCAGCGCGGGGCAACCUGGCGGCGAGCGGCGAACGGGUGAGUAAUGCAUCGGAACAUGUCCAUGUCGUGGGGGAUAGCCCGGCGAAAGCCGGAUUAAUACCGCAUACGCCCGAGAGGGGAAAGUGGGGACCGCAAGGCCUCACGCGAUUGGGUUGGCCGAUGUCCGAUUAGCUAGUUGGCGGGGUAAUGGCCCACCAAGGCGAUGAUCGGUAGCUGGUCUGAGAGGAUGAUCAGCCACACUGGGACUGAGACACGGCCCAGACUCCUACGGGAGGCAGCAGUGGGGAAUUUUGGACAAUGGGGGCAACCCUGAUCCAGCCAUUCCGCGUGAGUGAGGAAGGCCUUAGGGUUGUAAAGCUCUUUCACCCGCGACGAUGAUGACGGUAGC
Molecule: ribosomal RNA, 429 nt
Filed under: uncultured bacterium
Lineage: Bacteria
Description: bacterial SSU rRNA
Rfam family: Bacterial small subunit ribosomal RNA
Source: RNAcentral